This 429-nucleotide ribosomal RNA is filed under the name uncultured Comamonas sp. Its description in RNAcentral is "bacterial SSU rRNA". It matches the Rfam family "Bacterial small subunit ribosomal RNA", at positions 355 to 776 of the family's 1533-position model. Lineage: Bacteria; Pseudomonadati; Pseudomonadota; Betaproteobacteria; Burkholderiales; Comamonadaceae. The record is from RNAcentral.
UGGGGAAUUUUGGACAAUGGGCGAAAGCCUGAUCCAGCAAUGCCGCGUGCAGGAUGAAGGCCCUCGGGUUGUAAACUGCUUUUGUACGGAACGAAAAGCCUGGGGCCAAUACCCCCGGGUCAUGACGGUACCGUAAGAAUAAGCACCGGCUAACUACGUGCCAGCAGCCGCGGUAAUACGUAGGGUGCAAGCGUUAAUCGGAAUUACUGGGCGUAAAGCGUGCGCAGGCGGUUUUGUAAGACAGUGGUGAAAUCCCCGGGCUCAACCUGGGAACUGCCAUUGUGACUGCAAGGCUAGAGUGCGGCAGAGGGGGAUGGAAUUCCGCGUGUAGCAGUGAAAUGCGUAGAUAUGCGGAGGAACACCGAUGGCGAAGGCAAUCCCCUGGGCCUGCACUGACGCUCAUGCACGAAAGCGUGGGGAGCAAACAGG